Molecule: signal recognition particle RNA, 269 nt
Filed under: Chinchilla lanigera (long-tailed chinchilla)
Lineage: Eukaryota; Metazoa; Chordata; Mammalia; Rodentia; Chinchillidae
Description: Metazoan signal recognition particle RNA (ENSCLAG00000021978.1)
Rfam family: Metazoan signal recognition particle RNA
About the family: The signal recognition particle (SRP) is a universally conserved ribonucleoprotein.
Source: Rfam by way of RNAcentral
GCCCCUGUAGUCCCAGCUACUCAGGAGGCUGAGGUGGGAGGAUCGCUUGAGUCCAGGAGUUCUGGGCUGCAGCACUCUACGCCGAUCGGGUGUCCGCACUAGGUUCGGCAUCAAUGUGGUGACCUCCCGGGAGCGGAGGACCACCAGGUUGCCUAAGGAGGGGUGAACCGGCCCAGGUCGAAACGGAGCAGGUCAAAACUCCCGUGCUGAUCAGACAGCUUGUAUUCUAAUGGGUCAUUUAGGAGGAGGCAGGAAAGGUGAUGGCUCCA